GGAUGUGAGGUCCAUCUGGCUGCCACAUCUGUCACCUCAUGAAUCACCAAUGUUGAUUCUGCUGAUCUGGCUCGCUAGGUUCCAUGUGGAUUCCUCCUGAAGCCACAUGAUUGGUCAAAGACGACGACCUUCCCAGAUAAAGGAGGGUGGUUCUUUGGUCAAAAGUAUACGUAGGUAUGAUCCCGAAAUCUCCGAACAAGCUCUCAACACUCAAUGAUAUAACAAAGAUGAAGUGAUGAACAGAGCAACUGGCCUUU
Molecule: small nuclear RNA, 257 nt
Filed under: Mustela putorius furo (domestic ferret)
Lineage: Eukaryota; Metazoa; Chordata; Mammalia; Carnivora; Mustelidae
Description: 7SK RNA
Rfam family: 7SK RNA
About the family: 7SK was discovered as an abundant small nuclear RNA in the mid-70s but a possible function has only recently been suggested. Two independent studies have found that 7SK RNA binds the CDK9/cyclin T complex (known as elongation factor P-TEFb).
Source: Rfam by way of RNAcentral